CAUUCGUAAUCCGAGCCACAUCUUUCUAGAAACAAAGAUGGCGGCGCUAUCACCGGACAAGACAGAGAAACGGUUCGAAUAGAGUCCGAUGCACUUUCAUUGGUUCUGUUUUGAAAUAUAAACACUCAACAAACUCGAAGUGUCGGAAAAGCUUCAACUUCUCAACCAAAAUCUACUAAGGUGCGACGAAGGUGAGUAAUGUGAUGGCAGGAAAGCGGAGCGGACAACGCAGAAAAAAGUCACUUCCAGAGGUUUGAAACUUCCUGGAGUUUAAUCAAAACACAGAACUGAAAUAGUCGGCACUGUAAACACACUCUGGACAGUUCGGACCAGCGGCUCCCUCAACAAACCCACACGGCAGCUACAUGGCGUCCACAUGAAGACGACGCACCGGCAGGGAAGGGCUGUUGAAAUUCAGCAUAACUAUGGUCAGCGCAGGAUAUUUCCAGACAUGAAUGCAAGGGCUCUGUGGAUUUUUUUCCCUUUCUUUUUCUGGAAGAUGAAAGAAACAGCUGAGGGGGUUUAUAAAUAAAUGCACAUUUAAAACC
This is a long non-coding RNA of Poecilia reticulata (guppy), 548 nucleotides long. RefSeq lists it as uncharacterized. The record is from RefSeq and is a predicted model, not a curated record. Lineage: Eukaryota; Metazoa; Chordata; Actinopteri; Cyprinodontiformes; Poeciliidae.